GAAAUGCGAUAAGUAGUGUGAAUUGCAGAAUUCAGUUAAUCAUCGAAUCUUUGAACGCACAUUGCGCCCUUUGGUAUUCCUUAGGGCAUGCCUGUUCGAGCGUCAUCUAAACCUUCAAGCCCUGCUUGGUGUUGGGUGCCUGUCCCGCCUCCGCGCGCGGACUCACCUCAAAUCCAUUGGCGGCCCCCGCGUCGGCCACGAGCGCAGCAGAAACGCGAACUCGUGAGCCCGUCCGGGCGGCUCCCAGAAGCUACACCCACCCAGUUUGACCUCGGCUCAGGUAGGGAUACGCGCAGAACUUAAGC
This 305-nucleotide unclassified non-coding RNA is filed under the name plant metagenome. Its description in RNAcentral is "partial contains 5.8S ribosomal RNA, internal transcribed spacer 2, and large subunit ribosomal RNA". The stretch from base 1 to 105 matches the Rfam family "5.8S ribosomal RNA", at positions 50 to 154 of the family's 154-position model. The record is from RNAcentral.